Molecule: microRNA precursor, 78 nt
Filed under: Schistosoma haematobium
Lineage: Eukaryota; Metazoa; Platyhelminthes; Trematoda; Strigeidida; Schistosomatidae
Description: mir-3492 microRNA precursor family
Rfam family: mir-3492 microRNA precursor family
Source: Rfam by way of RNAcentral
ACCUUUUCGAAACCGUGCUGAGAUUUCGUCAGACACCAAUCCAUAAGGGUUGAUCAGACUUCCAAGAUAAGUGAAGUU